This is a long non-coding RNA of Salvia miltiorrhiza (redroot sage), 389 nucleotides long. RefSeq lists it as uncharacterized. NCBI's taxonomy places the organism in Eukaryota, Viridiplantae, Streptophyta, Magnoliopsida, Lamiales, Lamiaceae. The record is from RefSeq and is a predicted model, not a curated record. The transcript is spliced from 2 exons.
UCCUAUUUAUAUACCAAGUUACCAACCCAUAAAGCUAUAUCAACCAACCAUCCCAAAUCCCACAUGCAAAGAUGCCAUUAACAUAAAACAGAGCAGAAAAAAGAUAGAAAAAAAAAAAAAAAGUGUGUUGAUUGUGAAAUUUGAGGAGGAGGAGAAGAGAGAAUAGUGACACCUCUCCCUCAGGCAGUGUCUUCCACUCCCAACAAUUCUCACCUUCAUUUCACAGGGGAAAAAAGAGCACGACGCCUUCGAAUAUAAAAGCGGAAAAAGCAGAUACCGUCAAUCGAUGCCUGCCCGUAGCUCUCGGAUUCGGAGCCCAGCUGACGUCAACACGGAGAAAUCGAGUGACGUCAUAUUUGGCAAAAUUUUUUAUCAAGAGAGAAGUAAAA